This 465-nucleotide ribosomal RNA is filed under the name uncultured bacterium. RNAcentral describes it as "partial 16S ribosomal RNA". It matches the Rfam family "Bacterial small subunit ribosomal RNA", at positions 28 to 507 of the family's 1533-position model. The record is from RNAcentral.
GACGAACGCUGGCGGCGUGCUUAACACAUGCAAGUCGAACGGAAAGGCCCUGCUUGCAGGGUACUCGAGUGGCGAACGGGUGAGUAACACGUGGGUUAUCUGCCCUGCACUUCGGGUUAAGCCUGGGAAACUGGGUCUAAUACCGGAUAGGAGCCAUUUUUAGUGUGAUGGUUGGAAAGUUUUUUCGGUGUAGGAUGAGCUCGCGGCCUAUCAGCUUGUUGGUGGGGUAAUGGCCUACCAAGGCGGCGACGGGUAGCCGGCCUGAGAGGGUGGACAGCCACAUUGGGACUGAGAGACGGCCCAGACGCCUACGGGAGGCAGCAGUGGGGAAUAUUGAACAAGGGGCGCAAGCCUGAUGCAGCGACGCCGCGGGGGGGAUGACGGCCUUCGGGUUGUAAACUCCUUUCGCUAGGGACGAAGCUUUUUGUGACGGUACCUAGAUAAGAAGCACCGGCUAACUACGUG